This 440-nucleotide ribosomal RNA is filed under the name Escherichia coli. Its description in RNAcentral is "bacterial SSU rRNA". It matches the Rfam family "Bacterial small subunit ribosomal RNA", at positions 338 to 795 of the family's 1533-position model. The record is from RNAcentral. Lineage: Bacteria; Pseudomonadati; Pseudomonadota; Gammaproteobacteria; Enterobacterales; Enterobacteriaceae.
CCUACGGGCGGCAGCAGUGGGGAAUAUUGGACAAUGGGCGCAAGCCUGAUCCAGCCAUGCCGCGUGAGUGAUGAAGGCCUUAGGGUUGUAAAGCUCUUUCAGUAGGGAAGAUAAUGACGGUACCUACAGAAGAAGCCCCGGCUAACUUCGUGCCAGCAGCCGCGGUAAUACGAAGGGGGCUAGCGUUGUUCGGAUUUACUGGGCGUAAAGCGCACGUAGGCGGAUUGUUAAGUUAGGGGUGAAAUCCCAGGGCUCAACCCUGGAACUGCCUUUAAUACUGGCAAUCUAGAGUCCGGAAGAGGUGAGUGGAACUCCUAGUGUAGAGGUGGAAUUCGUAGAUAUUAGGAAGAACACCAGUGGCGAAGGCGGCUCACUGGUCCGGUACUGACGCUGAGGUGCGAAAGCGUGGGGAGCAAACAGGAUUAGAUACCCGAGUAGUC